This 1314-nucleotide ribosomal RNA is filed under the name metagenome. Its description in RNAcentral is "SSU rRNA". It matches the Rfam family "Eukaryotic small subunit ribosomal RNA", at positions 288 to 1610 of the family's 1831-position model. The record is from RNAcentral.
AUAUAAAUAGGAUGAAAGUGUGACUUAUCAACUGUCAACCGUGGUAUAUUUGACCACGGUGGUAUUGACGAGUAACAGAGAAUUUGGGUUCGAUUCUGGAGAGGGAGCUUUAAAGAUAGCUACCACAUCUAAGGAAGGCAGCAGGCACGCAAAUUACCCAAUUGUCGAUGACAGAGGUAGUAAUAAUAAAUAACAAUACAGGACUCGUCCGAGGCCUUGUAAUUGGAAUGUUUUUAAGAUAAAGACAUGAAGGAGGAACUAUUAGAGGGCAAGUCUGGUGCCAGCAGCCGCGGUAAUUCCAGCUCUAAUAGCGUAUUUUAAUGUUGUUGCGGUUGAAAAGCUCGUAGUUGGAUAUCAUUGAUUGUAUAAGUUCAAUGUGAAUUGUUCUUAUACAGGAGAGGGAAGUCAAGCGGUGAAAAUAAACUUGAAUGUUUAUAUCCACAUAACGCCUGGCUUAAGUUACUUUGAAUAAAUCAAAGUGCUCAAUACAAGCUUUUGCUUGAAUAUAUGUGCAUGGGAUAACGCAAGAAGAUCAAUAUCGAAUCUGUUGGUUGAAUCGAUAUGGGUAAUGAUUAAUAGAGAUUGACGGGGGCAUUUGUAUUUGAAAGCGAGAGGUGAAAUUCUGUGACCUUUCAAAGACAUGCUAAAGCGAAAGCACGUGCCAAGAAUGUUUUCACUAAUCAAGAACGAAAGUUAGAGGCUCGAAGGCGAUUAGAUACCGCCCUAGUUCUAACCAUAAACAAUGCCAACUAACAAUCUUGUGUAGUUUAAGUUGAAACUAACAAGGAAGUUUUCGGAAAGCCAAAGUUUUUGGGUUCCGGGGGUAGUAUGGUUGCAAAGCUGAAACUUAAAGUAAUUGACGGAGUGGCACCACCAGGAGUGGAGCCUGUGGCUUAAUUUGACCCAACACGGGGAAGCUCACCAGGGCAAGACACUAUUAGGAUUGACAGAUUGAUAGCUCUUUCUCGAUAAAGUGGGUGGUGGUGCAUGGCCGUUCUUAGUUGGUGGAGUGAUUUGUCUGGUUAAUUCCGAUAACGAACGAGACUCUGACCAAUUACUAGUGAAAUCUUUUGAAAAGAAAGUUACCGCAGUAAUGCAGUUUCAUUCGAGUUUUUACUUCUUAAGGGGACACGCUAUUGUGAAUAGCACGAGGAAGAGCAAUAACAGGUCUGUGAUGCCCUUAGAUGUUCUGGGCUGCACACGCGCUACAAUAAAUUAAUCAACAAGUUCUCCGUUUUGACAGAUGCGGGCAAACUUUUGAAAUUAAUCUAUGGUAGGAAUGGGAACUUGCAAUUAUUUUCCCUGAACUAGGAA